UAAUACCGGAUAAUAUUUUGAACUGCAUAGUUCGAAAUUGAAAGGCGGCUUCGGCUGUCACUUAUGGAUGGACCCGCGUCGCAUUAGCUAGUUGGUGAGGUAACGGCUCACCAAGGCAACGAUGCGUAGCCGACCUGAGAGGGUGAUCGGCCACACUGGGACUGAGACACGGCCCAGACUCCUACGGGAGGCAGCAGUAGGGAAUCUUCCGCAAUGGACGAAAGUCUGACGGAGCAACGCCGCGUGAGUGAUGAAGGCUUUCGGGUCGUAAAACUCUGUUGUUAGGGAAGAACAAGUGCUAGUUGAAUAAGCUGGCACCUUGACGGUACCUAACCAGAAAGCCACGGCUAACUACGUGCCAGCAGCCGCGGUAAUACGUAGGUGGCAAGCGUUAUCCGGAAUUAUUGGGCGUAAAGCGCGCGCAGG
This 426-nucleotide ribosomal RNA is filed under the name Bacillus sp. 791. Its description in RNAcentral is "bacterial SSU rRNA". It matches the Rfam family "Bacterial small subunit ribosomal RNA", at positions 164 to 575 of the family's 1533-position model. The record is from RNAcentral. Lineage: Bacteria; Bacillati; Bacillota; Bacilli; Caryophanales; Bacillaceae.